Vespa crabro (European hornet) is the source of this 2054-nucleotide long non-coding RNA. RefSeq lists it as uncharacterized. The record is from RefSeq and is a predicted model, not a curated record. The transcript is spliced from 3 exons. NCBI's taxonomy places the organism in Eukaryota, Metazoa, Arthropoda, Insecta, Hymenoptera, Vespidae.
AAUAAUAUAAUAUUAUUAAUUUGAUAUCUCGAUAGAUUUAAAUUUUGAACUUGAAGUUGUUGCCUGUUUAUAAUGUCAAUAAAAACAAACGCCGUAGUAACUUUGAUAAUUAUCGAGUCAGUUGUCUUUUACAUUCUGUCGAAUAAACAUUGAAAUUUUGUUUGGAGCAGGAUAUGUAUCGUACGAGGAUUAACAUAUACUCAAUCAAUAAAGGAAUCGCAAAGUGGUGUAUCAUUAAACAAAGAAAAAGUAAUCGCGAACUAAAAGCAUUGUUUGUUCGUUCGCGUUUCGUUGAAUUUAAAAAGCAAGUGUAUUUGAAUCGAUUGCCUGUAAGAUGUAAUCAUUAAAAUCAGUGUUCGCAAUGUUUUCUUUUUUCUUUUUUAACAAUCGUAUUAAAGAUUGUAUUAAAUAAAAGAUAAAUUAGUAAAGUCUCGCGAAUUAAAUUCAGUGACCGUCCGAUAAUAAAUAACUACCGCGUAUUAGAAUCAAUGAAUCAGAGAAGAGGAUCUCAACCAACUUCGAUGUCGACCUAUCUCAUUUUCAACCAUCUACGAAUCCAACCACCUUCAAUUUCGACCUAAAUCGCAGACGAGUGUUUUGGAGCCAUCGCGGAACUUCUUAAGUAGCUGAAUCAUCGAGGGAUGGAUUUGUCUGCAAUUGAGUGAUUAAGCAACAAGGAUUUGAUAUAUCGACGCGGAUAUCCGAUAUUUUGUUUAUGUGCUCGCGAUUUGUAAUCGUAAGAUUACAUAUUUAGACGGAAGCUUACGAAACCUUUCCGCAUUAUAUAAAGAGAGGAAAUGUCUCCUUUCUUUUGUACGAAUAGAAUAAAAAGAAGAUCCAUGCCCGCGUUAGUGGACACCAGAUGUGGAUAUUCAUGCAUCCGAUUAAAUGGACUACCGUGGACUUCGUUUUAUUGUUUGAAAUUCGGUCCUGUUAUUCAUAAGCGAGAACUGAUCCUCUUACAGAUAGCGUUGGUAGCUUGAAUUCUCUAUAAAUAGCAUUGUUCUUCCGAUACCGAGAAUUUUAGAGUAGAAUCAUCGUCAACCUCAUCGUAGGUCUUCAAAUGCAGCAACCUCCACGUGGUGAGAUUUGGAUCUUUACUAUUUACGAUAUAUCGAAAUCUAAUUCGAAAGCAAAUACUAUCGGGCGAAUGGUUGUACAUUUUCGAUCUAAUUCUAACUAAAUAUCAUUAAAGUAUUAACACUUUACGUUGCUAAUAAUAUUUCAACGGAUAAAUAUAUUAUAUAUGGCAGAAUUCUAAAAUAAUUUCUUAGAGAAACUCAUUGAAAAAUUCGAAUUAUUCCUUACUUGUUCUCACUUAUACUUAUCAGAUUAAAUACUAUAUCUUCUAUUCUAUUUACGUACGCCAUUAUAUAUGCAUUAAAUAUUUUCUAUCUAUCGUUGUUGUUAUUAUCUCUUUUAUAUGAUAUGUAUUCUAUCGCGAAUGAUAUCCAACUAAUGGUUACUUAAAUAUGCUUUAACUAUUAGUAUAAGUAAUUAAUAAGAAAUUCAAAAAUAUAAAAACUUUCUACAAUUAACAAAUACUUUUCAAUUAGUCUAUCUUCAGAAAAGUAUAAUAUAGCAUAUGGUUUUUUUCUUGCUUUUAUCAGACGCGCGAUUCCACGUUAAUCCGAUUUUUAAUGGGAGUUAAUAGAGUAUAUAACUUCCACAAGCUUAUACACCGAUAAAACAGAUGCAUAGUGGGAAUGGUAUUUCCCUAUUAUACUUGUAGUUCAUAUUUUGUCCAUAAAUGUCGCUAAAGUCACAUAUGGUACGAUCGAAAAAGGUGGAGAACUGUUUUAUACUACGUAAAUAUAUCAUGUUUAAAAUCAUAUUUGAAAAAUCCCAUUUCGUAUUUGUUGUAUUAAAAUAUGACGUAUACGAUAAUCAAACACAUUAUAAUUUUUUAUUUUCAUAAGUGCAUGAAAACAAAUAAUUACCACGAAAUAAUAAUUAAAUAUAACUUAAAGAAAUAUCAUUUUUAUGACUAAAAUAGAUUUAACAAAAUAUCAGCGAAUAAUGAUUACCAUAAAUUUACAAAUGGAUAAAAUCAA